Molecule: ribosomal RNA, 504 nt
Filed under: Akanthomyces muscarius
Lineage: Eukaryota; Fungi; Ascomycota; Sordariomycetes; Hypocreales; Cordycipitaceae
Description: SSU rRNA
Rfam family: Bacterial small subunit ribosomal RNA
Source: RNAcentral
AAGUGAUAAGUCUUUUAUUCUGAACCCAUAGCGUGACGGGUAAGUUAAGGCUAGAGGUAAACAAAAAGGAAAGAAAAAAAAAGUAUAGAAUGAAACUUUGUUUAUAUAUCGAUAAUGACGAUAUAUAUAUUAUUUCUUUACCAAUUACGUGCCAGCAGUCGCGGUAAUACGUAAGACACUAGUGUUAUUCAUCUUAAUUAGGCUUAAAGGGUACUCAAACGGACUGCUUACGCAUAAAAAGACUAGUGUUAUAUAGAAGCAGGUAGUACCUUAAGUGUAGCAGAUUAUAUUUGGUCAUACUCGAGGGACUUAGCAAAAGGCGUAGGCAACCUUCUAAGCAAUAACUGACGUUGAAGGACGCAGGAUAGGUCACGCACAGGAUUAGAUACCCAAGUAGUCUUUGCAGUCAAUGAUGAAUGCCAUAGGUUAGAUAAAAAUUUAGUCUAUAAAUGAAAGUGUAAGCAUUUCACCUCAAGAGUAAUGUGGCAACGCAGGUACUGAAAU